UACUGUGUGGAGCUAGUCAGAUUCUAUAAUGAACUUGCUGCAGUGGUGACUGGAUAUAAGAAAGGUGAAACAAAGAGGAUCAGUAAGAAUGCCUAAGAAGACCAAGUAAGUACAAAAACAAAAACUAUUUGUGUGUGUGUAAAGUAAGUAAAUUUUCUUAAUAAACAGUAUCAUCAUUUGAUAAUCAAUUACUUUUUCUUUGAAUAGUUCAGGCAAGAUUUUGAAUGAAAAAUAUAGACCAUGGAUCAUUUGACACUGGAAAACAUGAUGAAGACAAAUCAUUUAAAAAUGUGUGAUAGAAUGAGAAUACCAGGCCAGUGUUGCAGUCAAAUGAUCUACUGCUAAGCUCUAGCCCCAUGCCACAUGCAUAGCUUGGAGAAGGUAAUUUAGAGGACAUGACCACUGUUUGACCUGUGAGCUGUUUGACUCCAGAGCCACUGGAGGCUCCUCACUUGCCUCCCCUGUGCUUGGAAUGUACAUGGUUCCCAUGUGGGAGGCAUUUUGAAGAACGUUGCCUUGAGAGAACAAUGUGUUGUUGAGAUCAUCUGGAUGGUAUAUGUGCCUGAACAUGUUUUUAAAUUCUGUUGGGUGAGUAUGGAGAUUUACUAGUCUUUCAACAGCCCAAGACAAGUUGUGUAAAUCCCCUUGCUUAUUAAACCUACCACCUAU
Molecule: long non-coding RNA, 669 nt
Organism: Bubalus bubalis (water buffalo)
Lineage: Eukaryota; Metazoa; Chordata; Mammalia; Artiodactyla; Bovidae
Exons: 2
Source: RefSeq, a predicted model, not a curated record